RNAcentral lists this ribosomal RNA (484 nucleotides) under uncultured bacterium. RNAcentral describes it as "partial 16S ribosomal RNA". It matches the Rfam family "Bacterial small subunit ribosomal RNA", at positions 30 to 507 of the family's 1533-position model. The record is from RNAcentral.
AUUGAACGCUGGCGGCAGGCCUAACACAUGCAAGUCGAGCGGAUGAAGGGAGCUUGCUCCUGGAUUCAGCGGCGGACGGGUGAGUAAUGCCUAGGAAUCUGCCUGGUAGUGGGGGAUAACGUCCGGAAACGGGCGCUAAUACCGCAUACGUCCUGAGGGAGAAAGUGGGGGAUCUUCGGACCUCACGCUAUCAGAUGAGCCUAGGUCGGAUUAGCUAGUUGGUGGGGUAAAGGCCUACCAAGGCGACGAUCCGUAACUGGUCUGAGAGGAUGAUCAGUCACACUGGAACUGAGACACGGUCCAGACUCCUACGGGAGGCAGCAGUGGGGAAUAUUGGACAGUGGGCGAAAGCCUGAUCCAGCCAUGCCGCGUGUGUGAAGACGGUCUUCGGAUUGUAAAGCACUUUAAGUUGGGAGGAAGGGCAGUAAGUUAAUACCUUGCUGUUUUGACGUUACCAACAGAAUAAGCACCGGCUAACUUCGUG